GACGAACGCUGGCGGCGUGCUUAACACAUGCAAGUCGAACGAAGAGCGAUGGAAGCUUGCUUCUAUCAAUCUUAGUGGCGAACGGGUGAGUAACGCGUAAUCAACCUGCCCUUCAGAGGGGGACAACAGUUGGAAACGACUGCUAAUACCGCAUACGAUCUAAUCUCGGCAUCGAGGAUAGAUGAAAGGUGGCCUCUACAUGUAAGCUAUCACUGAAGGAGGGGAUUGCGUCUGAUUAGCUAGUUGGGGGGGUAACGGCCCACCAAGGCGAUGAUCAGUAGCCGGUCCGAGAGGAUGAACGGCCACAUUGGGACUGAGACACGGCCCAGACUCCUACGGGAGGCAGCAGUGGGGAAUCUUCCGCAAUGGACGAAAGUCUGACGGAGCAACGCCGCGUGAGUGAUGACGGCCUUCGGGUUGUAAAGCUCUGUUAAUCGGGACGAAAGGCCUUCUUG
Molecule: ribosomal RNA, 455 nt
Filed under: Veillonella parvula
Lineage: Bacteria; Bacillati; Bacillota; Negativicutes; Veillonellales; Veillonellaceae
Description: bacterial SSU rRNA
Rfam family: Bacterial small subunit ribosomal RNA
Source: RNAcentral